UACGUAGGGUGCGAGCGUUAAUCGGAAUUACUGGGCGUAAAGCGUGCGCAGGCGGUUUUGUAAGCCAGAUGUGAAAUCCCCGGGCUUAACCUGGGAAUGGCAUUUGGGACUGCAAGGCUUGAGUGCGGCAGAGGAGACUGGAAUUCCUGGUGUAGCAGUGAAAUGCGUAGAUAUCAGGAGGAGUACCGAUGGCGAAGGCAGGUCUCUGGGCUGACACUGACGCUCAUGCACGAAAGCGUGGGGAGCAAACAGG
RNAcentral lists this ribosomal RNA (253 nucleotides) under uncultured bacterium. Its description in RNAcentral is "partial 16S ribosomal RNA". It matches the Rfam family "Bacterial small subunit ribosomal RNA", at positions 524 to 776 of the family's 1533-position model. The record is from RNAcentral.